GAUGAACGCUGGCGGCGUGCCUAAUACAUGCAAGUCGAGCGAAUGGAUUAAGAGCUUGCUCUUAUGAAGUUAGCGGCGGACGGGUGAGUAACACGUGGGUAACCUGCCCAUAAGACUGGGAUAACUCCGGGAAACCGGGGCUAAUACCGGAUAACAUUUUGAACCGCAUGGUUCGAAAUUGAAAGGCGGCUUCGGCUGUCACUUCUGGAUGGACCCGCGUCGCAUUAGCUAGUUGGUGAGGUAACGGCUCACCAAGGCAACGAUGCGUAGCCGACCGGAGAGGGUGAUCGGUAGCACUGGGACUGAGGCACGGCCCAGACUCCUACGGGAGGCAGCAGUGGGGAAUCUUCCGCAAUGGACGAAAGUCUGACGGAGCAACGCCGCGUGAGUGAUGAAGGCUGUCGGGUCGUAAAACUCUGUUGUUAGGGAAGAACAAGUGCUAGUUGAAUAAGCUGACACCUUGACGGUACCUAACCAGAAAGCCACGGCUAACUACGUGCCAGCCGCCGCAGUAA
RNAcentral lists this ribosomal RNA (515 nucleotides) under uncultured bacterium. Its description in RNAcentral is "partial 16S ribosomal RNA". It matches the Rfam family "Bacterial small subunit ribosomal RNA", at positions 28 to 523 of the family's 1533-position model. The record is from RNAcentral.